CCUCCUUGAGAGUGGCGAACGGGUGAGUAAUGCAUCGGAACGUGCCCAGUCGUGGGGGAUAGCCCGGGGAAACCCGGAUUAAUACCGCAUACGACCUGAGGGUGAAAGCGGGGGACCGAAAGGCCUCGCGCGAUUGGAGCGGCCGAUGUCGGAUUAGGUAGUUGGUGGGGUAAAGGCCUACCAAGCCUGCGAUCCGUAGCUGGUCUGAGAGGACGACCAGCCACACUGGGACUGAGACACGGCCCAGACUCCUACGGGAGGCAGCAGUGGGGAAUUUUGGACAAUGGGGGCAACCCUGAUCCAGCCAUGCCGCGUGCGGGAAGAAGGCCUUCGGGUUGUAAACCGCUUUUGUCAGGGAAGAAAUGUCCUGGGUUAAUAACCUGGGGGGAUGACGGUACCUGAAGAAUAAGCACCGGCUAACUACGUGCCAGCAGCCGCGGUAAUACGUAGGGUGCGAGCGUUAAUCGGAAUUACUGGGCGUAAAGCGUGCGCAGGCGGUCAUA
This 503-nucleotide ribosomal RNA is filed under the name uncultured beta proteobacterium. RNAcentral describes it as "bacterial SSU rRNA". It matches the Rfam family "Bacterial small subunit ribosomal RNA", at positions 84 to 583 of the family's 1533-position model. The record is from RNAcentral. Lineage: Bacteria; Pseudomonadati; Pseudomonadota; Betaproteobacteria.